CUCACCUAGUAACGGUGAGUGAACGGCAACAGCUCAAAUUUGAAAUCUGGCGGCGGCCCGAGUUGUAAUUUGUAGAGGAUGCUUUUGGCGAGGCGCCUUCCGAGUUCCCUGGAACGGGACGCCAUAGAGGGUGAGAGCCCCGUACGGCUGGACGCCGAGCCUCUGUAAAGCUCCUUCGACGAGUCGAGUAGUUUGGGAAUGCUGCUCAAAAUGGGAGGUAAAUGCCUUCUAAAGCUAAAUACCGGCCAGAGACCGAUAGCGCACAAGUAGAGUGAUCGAAAGAUGAAAAGCACUUUGAAAAGAGGGUUAAACAGUACGUGAAAUUGUUGAAAGGGAAGCGCUCGUGACCAGACUCGGGCCCCGUGGAUCAUCCAGCGUUCUCGCUGGUGCACUCCGCCCGGCCCGGGCCAGCAUCGAUUUCCCCAGGGGGAUUAAAGCCUCGGGAACGUAGCUCCUCCGGGAGUGUUAUAGCCCCUGGCAGAAAGCCCCUGGGGGGAUCGAGGACCGCGCUCCGGCAAGGAUGCUGGCGUAAUGGUCACCAGCGACCCGUCUUGAAACACGGACCAAGGAGUCAAGCAGUAGGGCGAGUGUUUGGGUGUCAAACCCGCACGCGAAAUGAAAGUGAACGCAGGUGAGAGCUUCGCGCAUCAUCGACCGAUCCUGAUGUAUUCGGACGGAUUUGAGUAAAGCCCUGACCAUUGGACCGAAAGAUGGUGAACUAUGCCUGGAUAGGUGAAGCCAAGGAAACUCUUGGGGAGGCUCGCACGGUUCUGACGUGCAAAUCGAUCGUCAAAUCUGGGCAUGGGGGCGAAAGAUAAUCGAACCAUC
This 828-nucleotide ribosomal RNA is filed under the name Annulatascus velatisporus. RNAcentral's name for it is "eukaryotic LSU rRNA". It matches the Rfam family "Eukaryotic large subunit ribosomal RNA", at positions 75 to 944 of the family's 3401-position model. The record is from RNAcentral. Lineage: Eukaryota; Fungi; Ascomycota; Sordariomycetes; Annulatascales; Annulatascaceae.